RNAcentral lists this ribosomal RNA (462 nucleotides) under Anguilla rostrata (American eel). Its description in RNAcentral is "partial large subunit ribosomal RNA". It matches the Rfam family "Bacterial large subunit ribosomal RNA", at positions 1816 to 2464 of the family's 2925-position model. Lineage: Eukaryota; Metazoa; Chordata; Actinopteri; Anguilliformes; Anguillidae. The record is from RNAcentral.
CGCCUCUUGCUAACAAAGGAAGUACUAGAGGUCCCGCCUGCCCUGUGACCACAAAGUUUAACGGCCGCGGUAUCCUGACCGUGCGAAGGUAGCGUAAUCAUUUGUCUUUUAAAUAGAGACCUGUAUGAAUGGCAUAACGAGGGUUUAACUGUCUCCUUCCCCCAGUCAAUGAAAUUGAUCUGCCCGUGCAGAAGCGGACAUAAAUACAUAAGACGAGAAGACCCUAUGGAGCUUUAGACAAAAGAUCAAACAUGUAAAGAAACCAAAACAACCAAAAGGAACACGAAGGCCACAAAACCCAACGUAAACUGAUCUAAAUGUCUUCGGUUGGGGCGACCAUGGGGGAAAGAAAAGCCCCCACGAGGAACAGGGACAACCCCUAAACUAAGAGGGACACCUCUAAGCAACAGAAAAUCUGACCAAAAUGACCCAGGAUACUAAUCCUGAUCAACGAACCAAGUU